CCCUUGUACCAGAUGCUCUAU
Molecule: microRNA, 21 nt
Filed under: Monodelphis domestica (gray short-tailed opossum)
Lineage: Eukaryota; Metazoa; Chordata; Mammalia; Didelphimorphia; Didelphidae
Description: mdo-miR-7371j-5p
Source: miRBase by way of RNAcentral